This 492-nucleotide ribosomal RNA is filed under the name uncultured bacterium. Its description in RNAcentral is "partial 16S ribosomal RNA". It matches the Rfam family "Bacterial small subunit ribosomal RNA", at positions 29 to 507 of the family's 1533-position model. The record is from RNAcentral.
AGUGAACGCUGGCGGUAGGCCUAACACAUGCAAGUCGAACGGCAGCACAGUAAGAGCUUGCUCUUACGGGUGGCGAGUGGCGGACGGGUGAGGAAUACAUCGGAAUCUACUUUUUCGUGGGGGAUAACGUAGGGAAACUUACGCUAAUACAGCAUACGACCUACGGGUGAAAGCAGGGGAUCUUCGGACCUUGCGCGAUUGAAUGAGCCGAUGUCGGAUUAGCUAGUUGGCGGGGUAAAGGCCCACCAAGGCGACGAUCCGUAGCUGGUCUGAGAGGAUGAGCAGCCACACUGGAACUGAGACACGGUCCAGACUCCUACGGGAGGCAGCAGUGGGGAAUAUUGGACAAUGGGCGCAAGCCUGAUCCAGCCAUACCGCGUGGGUGAAGAAGGCCUUCGGGUUGUAAAGCCCUUUUGUUGGGAAAGAAAAGCAGCAGGUUAAUACCCCGCUGUUCUGACGGUACCCAAAGAAUAAGCACCGGCUAACUUCGUG